Osmia bicornis bicornis is the source of this 501-nucleotide long non-coding RNA. RefSeq lists it as uncharacterized. The transcript has 2 exons. The record is from RefSeq and is a predicted model, not a curated record. Lineage: Eukaryota; Metazoa; Arthropoda; Insecta; Hymenoptera; Megachilidae.
UUCUGCAUCUAAAAACAAAAAUAAAGUCGUUAUUUCUUUCAUCGAUCAAAUUACCUACCAAUAAUUAUAUUGGUAAAAGUCAAUCAUUGAGGAUUUUCUGCGCAAUCAAUCGCUCGUCGAUCUAUCGAUCGACAUGUAACGUUAAUCUUUUUUAGGCCUGCGCAAACUCACAGUGACCUUAACCAUGAUUUCAUUGAAACUUUAGAUACGAUAUAAUGAUGAAAAUGCUCUAAAAUCGAUGUUAAUAUAGCGAUAAUGAUAAUAAUAAAACGAUUAUUAUUAUUCUUGCGAUCGUGUGAUGAAACAGGAUAAAAAAAUGAAUUAUACUAGAAAUGAACAGUUAGGCUUUUUUACAUCCCUAAAGUGAACCGAUCCGAGUGCCAAACUUCUAUUACAUAUACAUAUUGUGUAAUAUGUAUAAUAGUUAUAUAGGAUUGUAUUUUCCUUGCCGACUGAAUGCCAUUACUCUUGUAAUUCAAAUAAAUUAAAUGUGCGAUGUUA